This 2016-nucleotide long non-coding RNA is filed under the name Macaca fascicularis (crab-eating macaque). RNAcentral describes it as "lncRNA (ENSMFAG00000051656.1)". The record is from RNAcentral. Lineage: Eukaryota; Metazoa; Chordata; Mammalia; Primates; Cercopithecidae.
AUCCGGGCCCGCCGAAACCGCGAGGCAGGCGGCCCGGGAGAGAGUGCGGCGCGCGGAGCAGCGCCCGGCCGGCUCCGCCAUUCAGGCGCGCGGCCUCCCUCCCCAGCCCCCACCGGCGCAUUGUUACACUCGCUCCCAUCCAUUCAGAGCCCAAGGCCCGCCGCGCCCCCGCCAGCCCGGGCUCCGCGCAGGAGGGCACCGCUGCAGCCCGCACUCCGGCCCCUGCGUGGACUGGAUAACGACCAAGAGUCCCAAGAAGGAAAACUGCUCGCCGGGAAAACGGGCGCCCCAGGAAGCUGUGGCCGCGACGGCCUAGGGCCUGGCUGGUGUUUCGCUUCCCCUCUGCCCCACCACGGAGGCCCCUGGAGCGACCAGGCUCCAAAUGUCACCCUCGCGUCCUGCCACCCCCUGUCCCCGCCGCACUCGGCCCCAUGUCCUCCUCCCGGGUUCCCUGCCUUCAAGGCGCGGGAGAGGGAGGCCGACCUCGAAAAGAGCGGCGGGCGGCAGGCUGCGCCGCUGUCUGUGGGGUGCCAGGCUCGCGUGUCCGGGGCCCCCGCCCGUGACGUCAUCCCCGAAGGGCCCGUGCGUCCCGGGCCGCUACAGAGCUCCCCAAGUCGCGGGGCCGCUUCCUGCCCGGCCUCGGGGCCUGCGCAUAGGCCCCGGCGCCGCUGCCCGGGUGGGGACACCGCAGAGAGCCCGCGCACCCCAUCUCGCCACGCACGGCCUUCGCCGCCCCUGCGGGCCCUGACUCCUACGCGACGGCCACGCCGGGCCCGGGUCACGCAUGGGGAAGUCAGCUCCCGCCCCCCACCUCGGACGCACUCACAAAGCUCCCCUCCGCCCCCGGCGCCGCGCGAAUGUUCCCCACGUCGCCACCCUACGCUCCGCAAACACUCCGCGCCUCGGCGCACGCAGAGCCCUUGCCACACUCGCCCCUCGCGCCAUGCCCCAACCCGACCUCAGCCGGCCGCACAUUCCCCAGAAGACCCUCAGCCGCGGCGCAGGGCGCCCCCACCCUGCAGCUCCCCAGACGUCCAUCCGGUGACCUCGCGCACCCCCCACACCACACAAAGCAAGGACCCCGCGGACCCCACAUCUCCACCCAGCGCGCGCUCUCGGUUCCCGAACCCGCCUCGGCUCCUCACCCGGCCCAGGAUCCCGACGCCUCGCGCCGCCCCCGCCCCGGGGCAGCGUCCACUGAGCCCCCGCGCCCCGUCGCUCGCUGCUCACCUCGGUGCCCGCGCUCACUCGGGGCCCUGGGUCUGGCGCUGCGACUUCGCGGCCCGGAGGCCUGGGUGGCCAUGGGGUCGGGCGCGGCGGCCCGCCGGCCCGCGGCCAGGCAGGAAGGAGGGUGGGCCGCGGCGCCCCUCCUCGCGCCGGCGCUCGGGCCGCGGGCUGGGCGGCCUGCUCGGCUCGCCUCUCGCCUUCGCCGCACUCGCUCUCCCACUAGUCUCUCGGAGCCCAGCCGCGGGCGAGGGCGGCGCCCGGGGCGCGGGGAGCGGGCGGCGCGGGGACCGGGCCCUGGCCGCGCACCCGGCCGGGCCUGCCUGGUGUCCGCGGGUGCCGCGGGGAAAUGCGAUCCCUCCGCACAGGAAGAGCGGACGGGCGGGCGGACGGGCGGCCGGGCGACGCGCGGGGGAGAAGGAGAGCGAGAGCGCGAGGAAAAAAGUUCCCGGGCGGCCUGGCUGCGCUCGCUCGCGGCCCCGGGCGCCAGGUGGGCCGUGCGCGCCCCGACAGCACCCCUGGCGGUCCGCGCGCCCCACUGCGCGCUCCCCGCCCGCCCUCCCGCCGGCCUGCGGGAGGGGCCCUCUGCGGUGGGAUCCCGGUGAGGCCCGGGAGGACUCUAGCGCCCUGCGUUCUGGAGCUUCCAGCGUCAGGCCAGGCCCCCACCCUCACUCCUUUAGCCCUCACCUGUGCCCACUUCUUUACAGUUUGAGAAACAUUUUCGAUUUCAAAACUCUAUUGGUUUCAUGUAAACUUCAUUUACUGGGCACCUGGCACCUUGCUGAGUCUUGA